AAAUUGAAGAGUUUGAUCAUGGCUCAGAUUGAACGCUGGCGGCAGGCCUAACACAUGCAAGUCGAGCGGAAACGAGUUAUCAGAACCUUCGGGGGACGAUAACGGCGUCGAGCGGCGGACGGGUGAGUAAUGCCUAGGAAAUUGCCCUGAUGUGGGGGAUAACCAUUGGAAACGAUGGCUAAUACCGCAUGAUGCCUACGGGCCAAAGAGGGGGACCUUCGGGCCUCUCGCGUCAGGAUAUGCCUAGGUGGGAUUAGCUAGUUGGUGAGGUAAGGGCUCACCAAGGCGACGAUCCCUAGCUGGUCUGAGAGGAUGAUCAGCCACACUGGAACUGAGACACGGUCCAGACUCCUACGGGAGGCAGCAGUGGGGAAUAUUGCACAAUGGGCGCAAGCCUGAUGCAGCCAUGCCGCGUGUGUGAAGAAGGCCUUCGGGUUGUAAAGCACUUUCAGUCGUGAGGAAGGUAGUGUAGUUAAUAGCUGCAUUAUUUGACGUUAGCGACAGAAGAAGCACCGGCUAACUCCGUGCCAGCAGCCGCGGUAAUACGGAGGGUGCGAGCGUUAAUCGGAAUUACUGGGCGUAAAGCGCAUGCAGGUGGUUUGUUAAGUCAGAUGUGAAAGCCCGGGGCUCAACCUCGGAAUUGCAUUUGAAACUGGCAGACUAGAGUACUGUAGAGGGGGGUAGAAUUUCAGGUGUAGCGGUGAAAUGCGUAGAGAUCUGAAGGAAUACCGGUGGCGAAGGCGGCCCCCUGGACAGAUACUGACACUCAGAUGCGAAAGCGUGGGGAGCAAACAGGAUUAGAUACCCUGGUAGUCCACGCCGUAAACGAUGUCUACUUGGAGGUUGUGGCCUUGAGCCGUGGCUUUCGGAGCUAACGCGUUAAGUAGACCGCCUGGGGAGUACGGUCGCAAGAUUAAAACUCAAAUGAAUUGACGGGGCCCGCACAAGCGGUGGAGCAUGUGGUUUAAUUCGAUGCAACGCGAAGAACCUUACCUACUCUUGACAUCCAGAGAACUUUCCAGAGAUGGAUUGGUGCCUUCGGGAACUCUGAGACAGGUGCUGCAUGGCUGUCGUCAGCUCGUGUUGUGAAAUGUUGGGUUAAGUCCCGCAACGAGCGCAACCCUUAUCCUUGUUUGCCAGCGAGUAAUGUCGGGAACUCCAGGGAGACUGCCGGUGAUAAACCGGAGGAAGGUGGGGACGACGUCAAGUCAUCAUGGCCCUUACGAGUAGGGCUACACACGUGCUACAAUGGCGCAUACAGAGGGCAGCCAACUUGCGAAAGUGAGCGAAUCCCAAAAAGUGCGUCGUAGUCCGGAUUGGAGUCUGCAACUCGACUCCAUGAAGUCGGAAUCGCUAGUAAUCGUGGAUCAGAAUGCCACGGUGAAUACGUUCCCGGGCCUUGUACACACCGCCCGUCACACCAUGGGAGUGGGCUGCAAAAGAAGUAGGUAGUUUAACCUUCGGGGGGACGCUUACCACUUUGUGGUUCAUGACUGGGGUGAAGUCGUAACAAGGUAGCGCUAGGGGAACCUGGCGCUGGAUCACCUCCUUAAACGAUGAU
This 1561-nucleotide ribosomal RNA is filed under the name Vibrio parahaemolyticus. Its description in RNAcentral is "bacterial SSU rRNA". It matches the Rfam family "Bacterial small subunit ribosomal RNA". The record is from RNAcentral. Lineage: Bacteria; Pseudomonadati; Pseudomonadota; Gammaproteobacteria; Vibrionales; Vibrionaceae.